UAUCUCUGUAGAGUCUGCAUAUCAAUAAGCGGAGGAAAAGAAACUAACUAGGAUUCCCUCAGUAACGGCGAGUGAAGCGGGAAGAGCUCAAAUUUGAAAUCUUCAAGGUUUUACCUUGACGAAUUGUAGUUUAAAGAAGUGUUUUCUGUUGGUGUUUUGGUAAAAGUUCUUUGGAAUAGGACAUCAUAGAGGGUGAGAAUCCCGUAUUUGACCAUUACUUUCCAGCUUUGUGAUACACUUUCAAAGAGUCGGAUUGUUUGGGAAUGCAGUCCAAAAUGGGUGGUAAAUUUCAUCUAAAGCUAAAUAUUGGCGAGAGACCGAUAGCGAACAAGUACCGUGAGGGAAGGAUGAAAAGAACUUUGAAAAGAGAGUUAAACAGUACGUGAAAUUGUCAAAAGGGAAGCGUUUGACACCAGUGUUGUUUUCUCGAAAAUCAAUUAAAAAAGGCAGGAUUUUGUGUUGUAUUGACUUUAUCAGCUUUCUGCACUCUCUUCUUGUCUUUUUUAAUGCACUUUUCGUUUAACAAGUCAACAUCAAUUUCUUUUGUUGUAAAAGGGUCAUUGGAAGGUGGCUUUCUUUUCGGAGAAAGUGUUUAUAGCCUUUGGCCUCUGCAAUCGGAGAGAUUGAGGUCUGCAGCGUAGAUCCUUCGGGGUUAGAUACAUUUGUGCUAAGUUAUAGCCUUUCAUAGACAACUUGUUGACUAUGAUCAGUCAUGUAGCUUACUCGCUUAUGCUAUUUUACCUACGCUUAGGAUGUUGACGAUCAGCUGAGCGCG
Molecule: ribosomal RNA, 775 nt
Filed under: uncultured Neocallimastigales
Lineage: Eukaryota; Fungi; Neocallimastigomycota; Neocallimastigomycetes; Neocallimastigales
Description: partial large subunit ribosomal RNA
Rfam family: Eukaryotic large subunit ribosomal RNA
Source: RNAcentral